GUCGGGAAUCUUCCGCAAUGCGCGAAAGCGUGACGGAGCGACACCGCGUGAUGGAUGAAGUCCUUCGGGGCGUAAACAUCUUUUAUAAAGGAGGAAAUUUUUGACGUUACUUUAUGAAUAAGGGGCUCCCAAUCUCGUGCCAGCAGGAGCGGUAAUACGAGAGCCUCAAGCGUUAUCCGGAAUCAUUGGGCGUAAAGGGUGCGUAGGUGGUUUGAUUAGUCUCCCGUUAAAACUUCGAGCUUAACUCGAAAAGAGCGGGGGAAACGGUCAAACUAGAGUAUGUGAGAGGUGUGUGGAACUCAUGGUGUAGGGGUGAAAUCCGUUGAUAUCAUGGGGAACACCAAAAGCGAAGGCAGCACACUGGCACAUCACUGACACUGAGGCACGAAACCUAAGGUAGCGAAUGGGAUUAGAAACCCCUGUAGUCC
This 428-nucleotide ribosomal RNA is filed under the name uncultured bacterium. RNAcentral describes it as "bacterial SSU rRNA". It matches the Rfam family "Bacterial small subunit ribosomal RNA", at positions 354 to 796 of the family's 1533-position model. The record is from RNAcentral.